Molecule: small nucleolar RNA, 73 nt
Organism: Patiria miniata (bat star)
Lineage: Eukaryota; Metazoa; Echinodermata; Asteroidea; Valvatida; Asterinidae
Product: small nucleolar RNA SNORD24
Exons: 1
Source: RefSeq, a predicted model, not a curated record
UGUCAGUGAUGACAAUAUAUUUGCUACUCUUGACAGUCUUGAGUGACGACAAACCACCAAGAUCGCUGAGACA